GGCGAACGGGUGAGUAACACGUAGGUGACCUGCCUCAAAGGUGGGGAUAACCACUGGAAACGGUGGCUAAUACCCAAUAGUCUCGGUGAUUUGGUUCACCGUGUAAAGCUCCGGCGCUUUGAGAGGGGCCUGCGGCCCAUCAGCUAGUUGGUAGGGUAACGGCCUACCAAGGCAGAGACGGGUAGGGGGCGUGAGAGCGUGACCCCCCACACUGGCACUGGGAUACGGGCCAGACUCCUACGGGAGGCAGCAGCGAGGAAUAUUGCGCAAUGAGCGAAAGCUAGACGCAGCAACGCCGCGUGGGUGAUGAAGGCCCUCGGGUCGUAAAACCCUUUUCUGAGGGAAGAGAAAGGACGGUACCUCAGGAAUAAGCCUCGGCUAACUAUGUGCCAGCAGCCGCGGUAACACAUAGGAGGCGAGCGUUAUCCGGAUUUACUGGGCGUAAAGUGCGUUGAGGCGGCUCUGUAAGUUGGACGUGAAAGCUCCUGGCCUAACUGGGAGAGGUCGUUCAAUACUGCAGAACUUGAGGACAGCAGAGGGGGGUGGAAUUCC
Molecule: ribosomal RNA, 552 nt
Filed under: uncultured Chloroflexota bacterium
Lineage: Bacteria; Bacillati; Chloroflexota
Description: bacterial SSU rRNA
Rfam family: Bacterial small subunit ribosomal RNA
Source: RNAcentral